Molecule: ribosomal RNA, 681 nt
Filed under: Cyanidioschyzon merolae
Lineage: Eukaryota; Rhodophyta; Bangiophyceae; Cyanidiales; Cyanidiaceae
Description: SSU rRNA
Rfam family: Eukaryotic small subunit ribosomal RNA
Source: RNAcentral
GUCAGAGGUGAAAUUCUUGGAUUUAUGGAAGACGAACAACAGCGAAAGCAUCUGCCAAGGAUGUUUUCAUUGAUCAAGAACGAAAGUUAGGGGAUCGAAGACGAUUAGAUACCGUCGUAGUCUUAACCAUAAACGAUGCCGACUCGGGAUCGGUGGAGCACAAGAUACUCCAUCGGCACCGUAGGAGAAAUCAAAGUGUUUGGGUUCUGGGGGGAGUAUGGUCGCAAGGCUGAAACUUAAAGGAAUUGACGGAAGGGCACCACCAGGAGUGGAGCCUGCGGCUUAAUUUGACUCAACACGGGAAAACUUACCAGGUCCGGACAUAGGGAGGAUUGACAGAUUGAGAGCUCUUUCUUGAUUCUAUGGGAUUCCGUUUAACGAACGAGACCUUAACCUGCUUAACUAGCGGCGCGAAACGCGGUUUCGCGGUCGCHUCUUAGAGGGACGAUCUGCGUCUAGCAGAGGGAAGUUUGAGGCAAUAACAGGUCUGUGAUGCCCUUAGAUGUCCUGGGCUGCACGCGCGCUACACUGAUGCAGGCAACGAGCGCCSUGCGCCGAGAGGCGUGGCGAAUCUGCCAAUCUGCAUCGUGCUGGGGAUAGACCCUUGGAAUUAUGGGUCUUCAACGAGGAAUUCCUUGUAAGCGCGAGUCAUCAGCUCGCGUUGAUUACGUCCCUGCCCUU